Molecule: ribosomal RNA, 254 nt
Filed under: uncultured bacterium
Lineage: Bacteria
Description: partial 16S ribosomal RNA
Rfam family: Bacterial small subunit ribosomal RNA
Source: RNAcentral
UACGUAGGGUGCAAGCGUUAUCCGGAAUUAUUGGGCGUAAAGAGCUCGUAGGCGGUUUGUCGCGUCUGCUGUGAAAACUGGAGGCUCAACCUCCAGCCUGCAGUGGGUACGGGCAGACUAGAGUGCGGUAGGGGGAGAUUGGAAUUCCUGGUGUAGCGGUGGAAUGCGCAGAUAUCAGGAGGAACACCGAUGGCGAAGGCAGGUCACUGGGCCGCAACUGACGCUGAGGAGCGAAAGCAUGGGGAGCGAACAGG